Molecule: small nucleolar RNA, 135 nt
Organism: Sardina pilchardus (European sardine)
Lineage: Eukaryota; Metazoa; Chordata; Actinopteri; Clupeiformes; Clupeidae
Product: small nucleolar RNA SNORA14
Exons: 1
Source: RefSeq, a predicted model, not a curated record
CCGCAUUCUUCAAAACCCCCCGUAUGCUAUUUGUAGCUUUUGGGACAAGCAAGAAUGCAAGAUUAAUUCUAGAACUAUCCAAAGUGGAGGGUCUUGUUGCCGUGGCUCUCAAACUAUUUCACCUCUAGAACAUCU